Molecule: ribosomal RNA, 253 nt
Filed under: uncultured bacterium
Lineage: Bacteria
Description: partial 16S ribosomal RNA
Rfam family: Bacterial small subunit ribosomal RNA
Source: RNAcentral
GACAGAGGGUGCAAACGUUGUUCGGAAUUACUGGGCGUAAAGCGCAUGUAGGCGGCUCGUAAAGUCGGAUGUGAAAGCCCUGGGCUCAACCCAGGAAGUGCACCCGAAACUCACGAGCUCGAGUCCUGGAGAGGAAAGCGGAAUUCUCGGUGUAGAGGUGAAAUUCGUAGAUAUCGAGAGGAACACCGGUGGCGAAGGCGGCUUUCUGGACAGUGACUGACGCUGAGAUGCGAAAGCGUGGGGAGCAAACAGG